Molecule: ribosomal RNA, 1374 nt
Filed under: Fusarium sp.
Lineage: Eukaryota; Fungi; Ascomycota; Sordariomycetes; Hypocreales; Nectriaceae
Description: partial large subunit ribosomal RNA
Rfam family: Eukaryotic large subunit ribosomal RNA
Source: RNAcentral
CAUAUCAAUAAGCGGAGGAAAAGAACCCAACAGGGAUUGCCCUAGUAACGGCGAGUGAAGCGGCAACAGCUCAAAUUUGAAAUCUGGCUUUCGGGCCCGAGUUGUAAUUUGUAGAGGAUACUUUUGAUGCGGUGCCUUCCGAGUUCCCUGGAACGGGACGCCAUAGAGGGUGAGAGCCCCGUCUGGUUGGAUGCCAAAUCUCUGUAAAGUUCCUUCGACGAGUCGAGUAGUUUGGGAAUGCUGCUCUAAAUGGGAGGUAUAUGUCUUCUAAAGCUAAAUAUUGGCCAGAGACCGAUAGCGCACAAGUAGAGUGAUCGAAAGAUGAAAAGCACUUUGAAAAGAGAGUUAAAAAGUACGUGAAAUUGUUGAAAGGGAAGCGUUUAUGACCAGACUUGGACUUGGUUAAUCAUCUGGGGUUCUCCCCAGUGCACUUUUCCAGUUCAGGCCAGCAUCAGUUUUCGCCGGGGGAUAAAGGCUUCGGGAAUGUAGCUCUCUUCGGGGAGUGUUAUAGCCCGUUGUGUAAUACCCUGGUGGAGACUGAGGUUCGCGCUUCUGCAAGGAUGCUGGCGUAAUGGUCAUCAACGACCCGUCUUGAAACACGGACCAAGGGAGUCGUCUUCGUAUGCGAGUGUUCGGGUUGUCAAACCCCUACGCGUAAUGAAAGUGAACGCAGGUGAGAGCUUCGGCGCAUCAUCGACCGAUCCUGAUGUUCUCGGAUGGAUUUGAGUAAGAGCAUACAGGGGCCGGACCCGAAAGAAGGUGAACUAUGCCUGUAUAGGGUGAAGCCAGAGGAAACUCUGGUGGAGGCUCGCAGCGGUUCUGACGUGCAAAUCGAUCGUCAAAUAUGGGCAUGGGGGCGAAAGACUAAUCGAACCUUCUAGUAGCUGGUUUCCGCCGAAGUUUCCCUCAGGAUAGCAGUGUUGAACUCAGUUUUAUGAGGUAAAGCGAAUGAUUAGGGACUCGGGGGCGCUAUAUUGCCUUCAUCCAUUCUCAAACUUUAAAUAUGUAAGAAGCCCUUGUUGCUUAAUUGAACGUGGGCAUUCGAAUGUAUCAACACUAGUGGGCCAUUUUUGGUAAGCAGAACUGGCGAUGCGGGAUGAACCGAACGCGAGGUUAAGGUGCCAGAGUAGACGCUCAUCAGACACCACAAAAGGUGUUAGUACAUCUUGACAGCAGGACGGUGGCCAUGGAAGUCGGAAUCCGCUAAGGACUGUGUAACAACUCACCUGCCGAAUGUACUAGCCCUGAAAAUGGAUGGCGCUCAAGCGUCUCACCCAUACCUCGCCCUCAGGGUAGAAACGAUGCCCUGAGGAGUAGGCGGACGUGGAGGUCAGUGACGAAGCCUAGGGCGUUAGCCCGGGUUGAACGGCCUCU